UACGUAGGGGGCAAGCGUUGUCCGGAUUUAUUGGGCGUAAAGAGCGUGUAGGCGGCCAGGUAGGUCCGUUGUGAAAACUGGAGGCUUAACCUCCAGCUGUCGAUGGAAACCAUCUGGCUAGAGUCCGGAAGAGGAGAGUGGAAUUCCUGGUGUAGCGGUGAAAUGCGCAGAUAUCAGGAGGAACACCUAUUGCGAAGGCAGCUCGCUGGGACGUAACUGACGCUGAGACGCGAAAGCGUGGGGAGCAAACAGG
RNAcentral lists this ribosomal RNA (253 nucleotides) under uncultured bacterium. RNAcentral's name for it is "partial 16S ribosomal RNA". It matches the Rfam family "Bacterial small subunit ribosomal RNA", at positions 524 to 776 of the family's 1533-position model. The record is from RNAcentral.